GACGAACGCUGGCGGCGUGCUUAACACAUGCAAGUCGAACGGAAAGGCCCUGCUUGCCGGGUGCUCGAGUGGCGAACGGGUGAGUAACACGUGGGUGAUCUGCCCCUUACUUUGGGAUAAGCCUGGGAAACUGGGUCUAAUACUGGAUAGGACCAUGCUGUAGGUGGUGUGGUGGAAAGAUUAGUUUCGGUAAGGGAUGAGCUCGCGGCCUAUCAGCUUGUUGGUGGGGUAAUGGCCUACCAAGGCGUCGACGGGUAGCCGGCCUGAGAGGGUGGACGGCCACAUUGGGACUGAGAUACGGCCCAGACGCCUACGGGAGGCAGCAGUGGGGAAUAUUGCACAAUGGGCGCAAGCCUGAUGCAGCGACGCCGCGUGGGGGAUGACGGCCUUCGGGUUGUAAACUCCUUUCAGCCAUGACGGAGCCCUUGUGGUGACGGUAGUGGUAGAAGAAGCACCGGCUAACUACGUG
Molecule: ribosomal RNA, 469 nt
Filed under: uncultured bacterium
Lineage: Bacteria
Description: partial 16S ribosomal RNA
Rfam family: Bacterial small subunit ribosomal RNA
Source: RNAcentral